This is a long non-coding RNA of Stegodyphus dumicola, 494 nucleotides long. Lineage: Eukaryota; Metazoa; Arthropoda; Arachnida; Araneae; Eresidae. The record is from RefSeq and is a predicted model, not a curated record.
UCCACCAGCGCCAAGGGGACCCGUAGAUCUUCUGCGCCCAAGGCCCGAAAGGAGCCCUAACUGGCACUGCAAGUGAAAAUGUUUGUCCCGCAUAUUUGGUUACAUAAUUCACGUCUACAGGAACUUUGCAGGUUGCGCUGGACGUGCAUGAUCAUUGUACACUUUUAGUACUUUUGGGAACACAACAUUUUAAUGAAUACAUUUUGGAAUGUCAUCCUGGAAGAGACAGCAAUACACACACAAAAAGGAAAAUGGUGCCAAGUUCCAAACUGUGAGCGUUGAUAUAAGUCCCCGAAAUAUGCAGAUAAUUAUGUGCAGUGACUGAAUCAAUAACGGGAAAAAAAAAGAAGGAAAUCUGGUAACUUUGGAUUAUAACCUACAUUCUUUCUGGGAUUCAGAACGCCGGAAAUACUUCUUUUUAAACCCAAUUUCUUAUAAUCCCUACUUGAAAUGUAAACUUUCAUCACAUAAAUAAAUAAUGAUUGUAAAUUCAA